AGAAAGCGUGCGCACACACUCCCGAGGAAGCAGCCUGCACGGAGGAAUUACUGAUUGCAACAGGAAUGGAAUUUCUCCUUUGCUGCCUUGUUCGGAUUGUCAGACCUCCCACUCUCUGGAUGUCAGAAACUGCAAGUUGAGCUCAUUCUGGACCUCUCAGCCUUCUAGACCCAUGCAACUGUAGUGAGGUUCAGUCAUUCUUCACAGGCGAGCCUCACUCUGAAGGUCUCAAGCCACACACUGCUAGCUGAUUGCUCUGAAUCUUUAAAUGGCUAAUCCCAUUUCCUGUGGCAAUCCAGAAAAUCUAGACACUCAUGCUCGGGAGCUGAUGGUGUACCAGAAGGACACUGGAAGAUUUGAGCAAUUUGGAUCUCUCCCUAAUGAUUCAGUUGGUGUCAAGAGGUUCUGAGAAUAUCAGCAAUGGAAUGAGAAAGUGGAAGAUGAGCUGGCAAAUCUGGUGGCAUAAAAAUAGCUGUCUUGUACAAGUUCUGGGAAGUCUGGAAGAAAAAAUGCCCAGUGCUAUUAUUCUAAGGCAUGGACCUGUCAACUUAGAGAUUUCAAGAUGUUCCUCUCCAGAUAUCAAUAAGGUCCCUCUGAGUCAGGUAUGAAGAAUAAAGAGCUGGUGAAAAACUCUGAACAAGUCCAUUUUACAAGUUCUUUUACAAAUGACAGUACUUGAACUCUUCACAUUAUGUUAAACUUUUAUUUCUUUUGAGACACUUCUAUUUCUGAAGGCAAUAAACAAGAUUUCUAACUGUAUCUUUGAAUUUGUGCAGUGGUACAAGACCUUCCCUUCCACCAAAACAUUUUUUUGCCCUGAAGAUACACACAAUUGUUGUAGUAAUGUAAAAGAAAGCAGACAAAUUGCACUCAUAAAAAAGACAAAGUAUUUCAGUUUUACUGAGUUGUAGUUUUGCUGGGCUUGUUCUGUGCCUUUGCCUGGGAAUAUUCUGACAAAAUCCUCAUUAUUUGGCUACAUCUGAUGAAGAAGAAAGGGGAUUGCAAGGGAGAAAAAAGGAGCUAAGGGGCAUAAGGAUUCAGAAAUAUUAUUUCAACAAAAUCUUAAAUCUGUUUUGUUCCAUUGUUUCUGAGAAGAAAAACCCACUGCUGUCUCAGAAAGAAUGUCUUACACAGUUUGUAUAACCAAUCUGGCAGCAGAUGAGGGAGAAAAAUGAAUCUGUAUUUCUUGCUGGCUGGGCAUGUUCCCUGCCUGCUGGGUUACAGAGAUGGCUUAAACAAUCCUUCUCUCCUAGCAAUAUGGGAAACAGAGAGGGUUUUUUCUUUGGCUUCUUUUUGUACAGUACAGUGCAGAACAACUAAUAAGAUGGCCAGGAUGUACAAAUUUGCUUCCUCCUGAGAAAAACUAAUAAAACAGUGGUUCAGCACUCACUUGAAAAGUGGAGCACAGAUUCAUUUGCUACUUACACAAGCAGUGGAGAUGCCAUAAACACCAGGCUGUUUAAAAUUACCUGUUGUCACACUCUCUACCUUUUCAGAAGACCUGUGAAAUAUGUUGAGAUUUUUUCUCCCAUAACACAGGACGGGAGCAUCUCUGACAUCUUAAACGUGCAUGUGGAAUGGGAAGUCCAGCUGUGCUCAGAACAGCUGUGCGCAUUCAUUAACCCAAGACAAGAAAAGUUGUAUUUUUGUUGGACUCAAAGACAGAUCUUUAAAAACUCUGACACCUAAUACUGCUGGCCAACAUGAAAAUCACUGUUCAGCUGUUUGACUGCUCCUGAAAAAGUCAAAGACUUCUUGUGUGCUUUUAUGACCACUUACUUUGAUAUCAAACAAAGUGUUUCUAGUCCUUUUCAUGCUUCGCUAAUAUACAGCAAAAGGUCUGAAUUUGUCUUAUUCUCUUGCUCAAUAUUAUCAAGUGUGAAUUCUCUUGCCCUUAUGCUAAGCUUUUCCU
This is a long non-coding RNA of Serinus canaria (Common canary), 1912 nucleotides long. RefSeq lists it as uncharacterized. NCBI's taxonomy places the organism in Eukaryota, Metazoa, Chordata, Aves, Passeriformes, Fringillidae. The record is from RefSeq and is a predicted model, not a curated record. The transcript has 3 exons.